Molecule: ribosomal RNA, 465 nt
Filed under: Vreelandella stevensii
Lineage: Bacteria; Pseudomonadati; Pseudomonadota; Gammaproteobacteria; Oceanospirillales; Halomonadaceae
Description: partial 16S ribosomal RNA
Rfam family: Bacterial small subunit ribosomal RNA
Source: RNAcentral
CCUACGGGAGGCAGCAGUGGGGAAUAUUGGACAAUGGGGGGAACCCUGAUCCAGCCAUGCCGCGUGUGUGAAGAAGGCCCUCGGGUUGUAAAGCACUUUCAGUGAGGAAGAACGCCUGGUGGUUAAUACCCAUCAGGAAAGACAUCACUCACAGAAGAAGCACCGGCUAACUCCGUGCCAGCAGCCGCGGUAAUACGGAGGGUGCGAGCGUUAAUCGGAAUUACUGGGCGUAAAGCGCGCGUAGGUGGCUUGAUAAGCCGGUUGUGAAAGCCCCGGGCUCAACCUGGGAACGGCAUCCGGAACUGUCAAGCUAGAGUGCAGGAGAGGAAGGUAGAAUUCCCGGUGUAGCGGUGAAAUGCGUAGAGAUCGGGAGGAAUACCAGUGGCGAAGGCGGCCUUCUGGACUGACACUGACACUGGGGUGCGAAAGCGUGGGUAGCAAACAGGAUUAGAUACCCUAGUAGUC